UAGCGAAGACUUUAGGAGAGAUGGCCGAGUGGUUUAUGGCUCCGGUCUUGAAAACCGGCAUAGGUUACAAACUAUCGGGGGUUCGAA
Molecule: transfer RNA, 87 nt
Filed under: Ephedra przewalskii
Lineage: Eukaryota; Viridiplantae; Streptophyta; Gnetopsida; Ephedrales; Ephedraceae
Description: tRNA-Ser
Rfam family: tRNA (bases 15-87)
About the family: Transfer RNA (tRNA) molecules are approximately 80 nucleotides in length.
Source: RNAcentral